Long non-coding RNA from Chionomys nivalis (European snow vole), 1554 nucleotides. RefSeq lists it as uncharacterized. The transcript is spliced from 3 exons. The record is from RefSeq and is a predicted model, not a curated record. Lineage: Eukaryota; Metazoa; Chordata; Mammalia; Rodentia; Cricetidae.
CGCGGGAGCGAGGAGGGCGGGAGCGGGCUUUGUCGGGCUGCAGUCGUGCCCGCGCCCCCGCUGCUCCAAACCCGAGCACGUCCGGAAAAGCGGUCUUUUCUUCGUCUGGGAGGUUUUCUCAUCCUCAGUUCCCACCGCUGAGGCUGGUGGCUAGCAACUCUAGGAGAAAGUCCCCAGGAGGAGAAGCAGGGGGGCGCGGAGGACGGGAAGGCGACCCGGAGGGGUAGGAAGUAAACGCUGGACUCGACCGUCCUUCUUUUUUCGGCCUUUCAGUGCGGACCUGACGCAGCGGGGUAGCUGUCAGUCACCACCGGGAUUUAGCAUUGAUCCAGUCAGCAGCUGAGGGGCCACCUCUCACCUCCCGCGGCUACUUGUCUCUGGCCAGAGGCUGGAACAAUAGUUGGUUUUUGUUGUUCUUUUGUUUUUUUUGUGUGUUUUUGUUUUUGUUUUCCGACAGAGCCAGACUGCAAUUAGCAUCUUAUUUGUUCAGGCUCGAAACAGUCUUUGUCAGGACCACUGUGCUAGCUACCGAGGUCAGGCUUCCUGCACUGCUCUCUGCACGGCGACGGGGCAAUAGUGCGGGUUCUAAACUUUUGAUUCGUUCUGCCUUCUUAAUGCAUUUAUUCCUUGUCAAGUUUCCCCUCCUCGUAGCAAGUUUGGACGUCUGAAGAAGUAUCUGACAGGUUUCAGAAGCAGGCUGCAACUGGUCAUUCGCCUUCUAGUUUUGUCUCUACUUGUAGACGCGGUUGAUGGUUUGCAAAACAAGUGUUUGGAUAGUGUGGUGAUGUGGUAGGAGGAGACAUGAUGGGCUAUGCUUUUGAGCCACGAGCCUUCCUAAGGGGGGUCACAAUCAAGAAUAACAAGUGGAACUAUGUAAGGAGAAGCUGGCCUCCGGGCCGCGACAACACCAUCCAAGCCAGCCCAAGAAGACAUAAUUUUGUUUCCUGCCUGCAUGGAGUUCCGUGGGAAAGCUUUGCUGUCAUUGACUCAACAAUAAAAAGGAAGAUGGUGUGCACCCUGGGCUCUGUGACCUGAGAUGAUAAUUUCCAGAUUUUACUACUUAGUUCACUUGUGUCCCUAUGUUUAUCUUUCUAUAUAUUUCACAUUAUAUAUGUAUGUCUAUUAUACAUGCAUAUGUUUUUUAUAUGCAUAUGUUAUUCCCUAGUCUAUCUGUACAAAUAUGUUUAUAUGGUAUGUACACAUGUGUCUCACUUUGGCAUGUUUGGAAGGGUACAUUAUAUUUUUUAUCCAUGGCAAGUAGUGUAAUUUACACAAAAACUAUCAAAUUAGUUGUAAAACUAGAUUUUAUCCAUAUCCUUGUUGAUUUUCACAAGGCGUGCUGAGGAAUCAGUGUGAACUUGUCCAAAUCUAGACUGAUAUUUUAUGGCAUUACCAUCAUUCAAAGUGGCCAAGGUAUCUAAAGUUGAACAUCUUCACAAUUGUGCCUUCUAUUAUUUAUCAGUAUUAUUAAUCACUCCAAGGAAAUAAUGUUUCUAUGUAUAGUACUUUUAAACUUCCUUUUCUUAGCUAACUUUCAAGUUUCUGCAUUUGACA